UUUAUAUGUGCUCACUUUCAUAAUACAUACUAAAAUUGGAACAAUACAGAGAAGACUGGCAUAGUCCCUGCAUGAAGAUGACAUGCAAAUUUGUGAUGCAUUCCAUAUUUUU
Small nuclear RNA from Talpa occidentalis (Iberian mole), 112 nucleotides. The record is from RefSeq and is a predicted model, not a curated record. Lineage: Eukaryota; Metazoa; Chordata; Mammalia; Eulipotyphla; Talpidae.